RNAcentral lists this long non-coding RNA (4391 nucleotides) under Sus scrofa (pig). Its description in RNAcentral is "lncRNA (ENSSSCG00040028480.1)". The record is from RNAcentral. Lineage: Eukaryota; Metazoa; Chordata; Mammalia; Artiodactyla; Suidae.
AUACACACAUGUUUUCUUUCUUUCUUUUUUUCCUUUUAGGACUGCACCUGUGACAUAGGGAAGUUCCCAGGCUAGGGAUCAAAUUGAAGCUGCGGCUGCCAGCAUACGCCACAGCCACAGCAACGCCAGAUUGACCUACACCGUAGUUCACAGCAAUGUUGGAUCCUUAACCCACUGACGGAGCCCAGGGAUCAAACCCACAUCCUCAUGGAUACUAGUUGGGUUCUUAACCUGCUGAGCCACAAAGGGAACGCCAAGCCCAGUUUUCUUAAAGUAAAACUACCUCAGUUCAUAAGGUAACACAUUUGAUCUCCAGUAGACUCAUGGAUAAAAUGCCUUAUAUUGAUAUAGUGCUUUAUACUUACAAAAUAUUUUCUCAUGUCCUUUCAUCUUGACCUCUUUUGUAGAAAUGAGGGUUAAAGAUGCAGCAGAUUUUUUACUUGCCCUGGAAUCUCAGGGAGGUUACAAUGGCUGGUCCAAAUUCCACAUUGAGUAAAUUAUGGUAUCAGGAAUUAAACAAAGACUUCUCAGACCAUGUUGUGACUGAUUGAUACCCUUAUGCAUUAAAUCAUCAGAAGGAAAGACUGUCUUUUAUAUGUGGGCAAACGCAGGUCUUUUCAGUUGUAUAUGCUCCCACCUUCUCAAGGAUGGUGCUCUUGCUUUAUUUUAUCUAAAAAACCAAACCCCCUCCGUCUUCAACAGUCCAGCUCUCAUCAUCCCCAUUUCUGUUUCACAGGACUGACUUUGCUAUUUAGGGAAUCAUCAGAGUAUUAUUCCAAAGGGAGGAAAAUCAGAUAAAACCCAGCAUUCCUGGCUACAGCCUGUAUGAUUAUGAACACAGUACUGUACUUACAGUAGAGUAGGAUGCCAGGGUGAAUAGACACCGCUGCCUUUGAAAGGAUGAACGUUCGUUCUGACCUAAUAACUAUCUAACGCUGGGUACAAUUAUCUUUUCGCAAGUGGCACAUUAUUAUUUGACACAUUAAUUGUUGUGUCAUUUCUUUCUGAAAGGCAUGUUGCGAGCCUAAUACAAACCAGAGGCUUCAUGAAUUAUCCAUGUCAUACGCUGCUGCACUGAUUUACCUUUUGCAAAAUAAAAUCAACCCAAUCGCACCGCCUGUGUUCAAUUACCACAGGCCGAUCUGUGCCACCCUGUGACCCCAAGAGCUUUCUUCCUGGGUCUUGGCAUUUCUGAUCAACAUUAGCAAUGGUCUGCUUACUCACUACAGCUAUGAAAGUGUUCUUCCUCGUAGGUAAACUAGAGAUGUGUCUUUGAUAACAGGAACAUUCUUUAGGAUGUAGUUUUUGACUUGAGAUCCCCUUUUUCUGUGUCCAUUCGACCUUGGUCCCUUUUUCAUUCUUUCCCAGGAAGGGCUCUCUGGACAGAGAACUGUUUCCCGGGCAAAAAGACCCCAGUAAGCCCCAAACAUUCAAAUCUGGAUGACCUUCCAUUGCCACAGCUGCCACUUGGCAGCCUUCGAAGCUGAUGGGCUGGCGGCCCUGGGUUUGCCUCUGGGCCUGUCAUCUGUCGUGUUGUUAGACUGCUGAUGGGCUGUCGCUGCCUGCCCCUGAAGCUGGCACUUCCCUCUUCCAACUUGGGCUGCCACUGGAUGAUAAAAUCAAGCAGCCUCACAGCCGCCCUUCAUCCUCCUCCAGAUCCCAGUGGUUGAAUCAGUCUCCAAGCAGAAGCAGAAAAACUGAACCUUUCCAUUGUCUUACCAAACACAUUGGGUGUGCAUAUUCCACCGCAAAUUACCAUUAAAAAAAAAAAAAUCAGAAUUAGAAUGCAUUUGCUGUUCUAUACUUUGCUGCUAGUUAAUGCCAUGCCACCCUGAAGACUCAUCUCCCCUUUUGGUUUUAAUUGGGUUCUUUUCUGUUGCUUUCAUAUCAAUUUGCACCUGACUGACAUAUUCUGCAGCUGAUUACCAAGUGAGUUGUUCUGUGAGCUAGAGGUAUGAUAAAUUAAACAUGCUAUGUAUCACCGAAUCCAUCUUUGGCUGCUUCAUGGUACAUUAUAAUUUGGGAAGGCACUAUUAAAAUAAAAUAUUAAAGAAUAAGCAGAAACAGCCCACCGUUAACAUGUCCAAUGGCAAGAGAAAAUUACAGGUUUCAUUGUAUAUGCGGCACCAUCUGCCUCUUUACCGAGGCUGAGCCUUCGGCUCCCCCAGGGGAAAUCGCUGUGGAUAAGUUAUUCAAUUAGAACAGCAUUAUUGGCCAGCUACCUUGGAGAAUUGGGUUGAUGAUGUUGUGAUUAUCCCGCUCUACAUUCCUUCAUGUCUCUGGCAGGCUGCAGUGCAUGGCAACUUCCUUAAGUGUUUACCAAGCCCUACAGUAGAGGUGAACAAUUGGAAUGAAGAAUAUCAAGGAUUCCUGAAAGAAAAUCAAUUUUGAAUGAACUUUUCUUGCUUAGCCGCAGCUUCAGUAUUCUGAGUCAUACUGUAUUUUUGUGGACUUUCAUGUUAAGUGAUAGAAAUGGCAGUAGAGAGGAAAGUGAAUUGCAUGAUAUGCAUUUAACCUGUGGCACGGCACCAAAUCCUUCUUCACGUGAGAUUACAAGGCAGAGAAAUACUCAGGCCUCCUCCAAGAGGUUAUUCAUUCUAGGGAAGGGAAAAUCUCAUAGGAGCAUAAUGCUGUUUUAAUCAGGACUUCAGCUCUCCUUUGAAAACAUUUGUUUUAUAAAAAGUAAUAAUUAUUUAUGAGUCACUCUCUACCAGGAAGUCGGAGCCCUUCCUUUACAAGAGCGUGCCAGUCAACCAACUUCCUAAGUGGGAGGCUGUUGGGGGUGUUUAUGGUUAUCUUUAGAUCAUGUGGUUUGCAACAGAGGAUCUUGCAGUAUUCCUUUUGCCUCAUCCAAGUAAAACAUAUAUGUAUAUUACAUGCACAUAUUGUUUGUACAUGUAUAUAUAUUNCAGGGCCACACCUGCGGCAUAUGAAAGUUCCCAGGCUCAGGGUCAAAUCAGAGGUGCAUCUGUAGGCAAGUUGUAGGCAAGUUGUGGCAAAGCUGGAUCCUUAACCCACUGAGCAAGGCCAGGGAUCAAACCCUCAUCCUCAUGGAUACUAAUCAGGUUCUUAACCCACUGAGCCACAAUGGGAACUCUCUAUAUAAUUUUUUUUUUAAAUUCUAAGUGCCUGUUGAAGAAAGUUGGAAAUACAGAAAACUGUCUUAAAAUUUACACAUAAAAUCAUUUAUUUUCACACUUCUCAUAAAUAUCAUAUCUCUGAUAUGGCAUAUAUUUCCAGAGGGCUUAUUUGCACCCUGGGGUCCAUUGAGACCAUCUUUGAUGAUUGCCAGUUGAGCAGGAACUCAAAUGUGCUCCCUCAUCGCUGGUUCAGAUGCUGCUGGCUCUGGAAGAUGGUUGUUCUGUAUUUCAGCUUUCAGAACUGAAAGAACUGUAAGAAUUUAUAAGCUCAUAUUCCGCCCCCCUUUACUUGACAUAGUGGUAUCAUUUUUAAGACCUUCUUAUAAUAUUAGGACAUUAACUUUUUUUUUUUUUUUUGUCAGUGCAUGGUUAUUGUAAAAAGCAGAGGAACCUGUAUUAGGUUGUAUUCUUGCUUUUAAACUUUCUAUAACCAUACCCCUUUUGAACCUGUAGCCAGGUCUGAUAGCUGCCACCAUCCUGCCCUUGGUAAGCCAUUGCCAAAGAUUCUUGCAAUGUAAUAGAUUUUCUACAUAUAAGCUUCCCUUAUAUUCCUGGAACCAAGACUAUUUGGAAAAUUCUUUGGUAUAUGUAAAAUUUGGUUUGUAGAUCUUUUAUUUAGAAUUAUUGCUCCUAUAUUUAUAUUAAGAAUUUAUGUAUAAUUUUUGGAAAAUGAGCAGACAUCACAUUUCAGUACCAGGAUUGUGUUGAGUACCUAAAAUAAAUUAGGUAAUUAUCCUUUAUUUUUUAGUAUUUAUUUAACUUAAAAGUAUUAAUUUAUUCUAAACUGAACAACUUUGGAACAGUAUACAUAGAAAGGAAAUGAUCAAUUCCUUGAGAAUUUGAAAGAACUUAAUCACUAAAAUGUCCAGAUAUUCCCUUAAUAACCUUUUAAUUGUAUUUAAUUAUUUUGUAGGAUUUUUACUCAUUAAUAAAGAAAAUACGUAUUUUACUGAUUUUUUUAAAUAUUGACAAAUAUUUUUAAUAUUUUAUUGUCUAUUAUUUUCCCUUAUUGGUCUGUGAUUUAGGAACUCUUGGAAUUCCCAUUGUUGCUCAGUGGUAAUGAACCUGGCUAGUACCCACAAGGAUGCAGCUUUGAUCCCUGGUCUCACUCAGUGAGCUGGAGAUCCAGCAUUGCUGUGAGCUGUGGUGUAGGUCACAGACAUGGCUCGGAUCCUGCAUUACUGUGGCUGUGGCAUAGGCUGGUAGUUGUAGCUCCUGAUUCAACCCCUAGCCUGGGAACUUCCAUAUGCU